Molecule: ribosomal RNA, 458 nt
Filed under: uncultured bacterium
Lineage: Bacteria
Description: bacterial SSU rRNA
Rfam family: Bacterial small subunit ribosomal RNA
Source: RNAcentral
AACGAACGCUGGCGGCAUGCCUAACACAUGCAAGUCGAACGGGAUCCUAGCUUGCUAGGUGAGAGUGGCGGACGGGUGAGUAACACGUGGGAAUCUGUUUUUUGGUUCGGGAUAACCGCGGGAAACUGCGGCUAAUACCGAAUGCCCUCGAGAGAGGAAAGAUUUAUCGCCAGAAGAGGAGCCCGCGUCCGAUUAGGUAGUUGGUGGGGUAAAGGCCUACCAAGCCGACGAUCGGUAGCUGGUCUGAGAGGAUGAUCAGCCACACUGGGACUGAGAUACGGCCCAGACUCCUACGGGAGGCAGCAGUGGGGAAUAUUGGACAAUGGGGGCAACCCUGAUCCAGCAAUGCCGCGUGAGUGAUGAAGGCCUUAGGGUUGUAAAGCUCUUUUGCCAGGGAAGAUGAUGACUGUACCUGGAGAAUAAGCCCCGGCUAACUUCGUGCCAGCAGCCGCGGUAAU